RNAcentral lists this ribosomal RNA (898 nucleotides) under Cudonia sichuanensis. Its description in RNAcentral is "eukaryotic LSU rRNA". It matches the Rfam family "Eukaryotic large subunit ribosomal RNA", at positions 65 to 980 of the family's 3401-position model. The record is from RNAcentral. Lineage: Eukaryota; Fungi; Ascomycota; Leotiomycetes; Rhytismatales; Cudoniaceae.
CCAACAGGGAUUGCCUCAGUAACGGCGAGUGAAGCGGCAACAGCUCAAAUUUGAAAGCUGGCUCUUUCAGGGCCCGCGUUGUAAUUUGUAGAGGAUGCUUCGGGUGCGGCGCUGGUCUAAGUUCUUUGGAACAAGACGUCAUAGAGGGUGAGAAUCCCGUAUGUGACUGGCUGCCUGUGCCUGUGUGAAGCUCCUUCGACGAGUCGAGUUGUUUGGGAAUGCAGCUCAAAAUGGGUGGUGUACUUCAUCUAAAGCUAAAUAUUGGCCAGAGACCGAUAGCGCACAAGUAGAGUGAUCGAAAGAUGAAAAGCACUUUGGAAAGAGAGUUAAACAGUACGUGAAAUUGUUGAAAGGGAAGCGCUUGCAAUCAGACUUGCGCGGCGUCGAUCAACCUGGGUUCUCCCUGGUGCACUCGGCGCUGCUCAGGCCAGCAUCAGUUUCGGCGGUUGGAUAAAGGCCUAGGGAACGUGGGUUACUUCGGUGACUGUUAUAGCCCUAGGUGCAAUGCAGCCUGCUGGGACUGAGGACCGCGCUUCGGCUAGGAUGCUGGCGUAAUGGUUGUAAGCGACCCGUCUUGAAACACGGACCAAGGAGUCUAACAUCUAUGCGAGUUUUUGGGUGUCAAACCCAUAAGCGUAAUGAAAGUGAACGGAGGUGAGAACCCUUAAGGGUGCAUCAUCGACCGAUCCUGAUGUCUUCGGAUGGAUUUGAGUAAGAGCAUAGCUGUUGGGACCCGAAAGAUGAUGAUCUAUACCUGAAUAGGGUGAAGCCAGAGGAAACUCUGGUGGAGGCUCGCAGCGGUUCUGACGUGCAAAUCGAUCGUCAAAUUUGGGUAUAGGGGCGAAAGACUAAUCGAAUCAUCUAGUAGCUGGUUCACGCCGAAGUUUCCCUCAGGAAA